RNAcentral lists this unclassified non-coding RNA (237 nucleotides) under Hevea brasiliensis (rubber tree). The record is from RNAcentral. Lineage: Eukaryota; Viridiplantae; Streptophyta; Magnoliopsida; Malpighiales; Euphorbiaceae.
GACAGCGGAGCAUUCAUAUCUUGGUGAAUCUGCGACCGGAUCGGAGGGUUGAGCUCCUCGGAGAACAGAUAAUGAUGAAAAUCAUCAAGUGUCAGCAGCGGACGAGUCGGCUUCGCGAUCCGAUGCCUCAGCUGCCGGAGCUGAUCAAUCACCUUCUCCGCAUCCGCGACCGUGGCGCCGACCUCCCCCUGCGAGUCGGCCAGAAAGCGGAGGAGCUGAUCCGGCCCCAUGUUCGGC